UCGUAACAAGGUUUCCGUAGGUGAACCUGCGGAAGGAUCAUUACCUAGAGUUUGUAGACUUCGGUCUGCUACCUCUUACCCAUGUCUUUUGAGUACCUUCGUUUCCUCGGCGGGUCCGCCCGCCGAUUGGACAACAUUCAAACCCUUUGCAGUUGCAAUCAGCGUCUGAAAAAACAUAAUAGUUACAACUUUCAACAACGGAUCUCUUGGUUCUGGCAUCGAUGAAGAACGCAGCGAAAUGCGAUAAGUAGUGUGAAUUGCAGAAUUCAGUGAAUCAUCGAAUCUUUGAACGCACAUUGCGCCCCUUGGUAUUCCAUGGGGCAUGCCUGUUCGAGCGUCAUUUGUACCUUCAAGCUCUGCUUGGUGUUGGGUGUUUGUCUCGCCUCUGCGUGUAGACUCGCCUUAAAACAAUUGGCAGCCGGCGUAUUGAUUUCGGAGCGCAGUACAUCUCGCGCUUUGCACUCACAACGACGACGUCCAAAAGUACAUUUUUACACUCUUGACCUCGGAUCAGGUAGGGAUACCCGCUGAACUUAAGCAUAUCAAUAAGCGGAGGAA
This 558-nucleotide unclassified non-coding RNA is filed under the name Epicoccum nigrum. RNAcentral describes it as "sequence contains 18S rRNA gene, ITS1, 5.8S rRNA gene, ITS2, 28S rRNA gene". The stretch from base 187 to 340 matches the Rfam family "5.8S ribosomal RNA". The record is from RNAcentral. Lineage: Eukaryota; Fungi; Ascomycota; Dothideomycetes; Pleosporales; Didymellaceae.